UCGCUCCUACCGAUUGAAUGAUCCGGUGAGUUCUCAGGACCGUGGUGCUCGGAGGUUCGCCUCGCUUGCGUCGUGGGAAUUUGUGCAAACCUUAUCAUUUAGAGGAAGGAG
Molecule: ribosomal RNA, 111 nt
Filed under: uncultured eukaryote
Lineage: Eukaryota
Description: partial small subunit ribosomal RNA
Rfam family: Eukaryotic small subunit ribosomal RNA
Source: RNAcentral